RNAcentral lists this transfer RNA (72 nucleotides) under Fidelibacterota bacterium. RNAcentral's name for it is "tRNA-Lys". It matches the Rfam family "tRNA". From Rfam's summary of the family: Transfer RNA (tRNA) molecules are approximately 80 nucleotides in length. Lineage: Bacteria; Pseudomonadati; Fidelibacterota. The record is from RNAcentral.
GCCUCAGUAGCUCAAUGGUAGAGCAGUGGCCUCUUAAGCCAUUGGUUAAAGGUUCGAGUCCUUUCUGGGGUA